This 253-nucleotide ribosomal RNA is filed under the name uncultured bacterium. RNAcentral's name for it is "partial 16S ribosomal RNA". It matches the Rfam family "Bacterial small subunit ribosomal RNA", at positions 524 to 776 of the family's 1533-position model. The record is from RNAcentral.
UACGAAGGGGGCUAGCGUUGCUCGGAAUCACUGGGCGUAAAGGGUGCGUAGGCGGGUCUUUAAGUCAGGGGUGAAAUCCUGGAGCUCAACUCCAGAACUGCCUUUGAUACUGAAGAUCUUGAGUUCGGGAGAGGUGAGUGGAACUGCGAGUGUAGAGGUGAAAUUCGUAGAUAUUCGCAAGAACACCGGUGGCGAAGGCGGGUCUCUGGGCCGUAACUGACGCUGAGGAGCGAAAGCGUGGGGAGCAAACAGG